Non-coding RNA from Arachis ipaensis, 298 nucleotides. The record is from RefSeq and is a predicted model, not a curated record. NCBI's taxonomy places the organism in Eukaryota, Viridiplantae, Streptophyta, Magnoliopsida, Fabales, Fabaceae.
UCGCCACCGGAGAAAGGAGCUGCAUCUCUGUGUUUCUGACCACCGGGAGUGGUUAUAUGGCUUCCGGGAUCACCGCCGAAGCUCCUGGCUGAGUUUCUGCCACUUGAGACCCUGCUGCCAUCGCUGGAAAAGUUUGCCGUUGUCGUGAUCAGAAUUUGUCGCCGCUGCCGCUUGAGGUGGCUGCUGAGUUGCCGCUGAACCGGCUCGGAGACCGCCGCUAUUUCGGUUCAGCCGUUCCUUCUUCGGUUCGAGUUGUUGAGACUGUUGCGAAAGUGGCUUGGAGCUGAGGUUUUGGUUG